AGUGAACGCUGGCGGUAGGCCUAACACAUGCAAGUCGAACGGCAGCACAGUAAGAGCUUGCUCUUACGGGUGGCGAGUGGCGGACGGGUGAGGAAUACAUCGGAAUCUACUUUUUCGUGGGGGAUAACGUAGGGAAACUUACGCUAAUACCGCAUAUGACCUACGGGGGAAAGCAGGGGAUCUUCGCACCUUGCGCGAUUGAAUGAGCCGAUGUCGGAUUAGCUAGUUGGCGGGGUAAAGGCCCACCAAGGCGACGAUCCGUAGCUGGUCUGAGAGGAUGAUCAGCCACACUGGAACUGAGACACGGUCCAGACUCCUACGGGAGGCAGCAGUGGGGAAUAUUGGGCAAUGGGCGCAAGCCUGAUCCAGCCAUGCCGCGUGAGUGAAGAAGGCCUUCGGGUUGUAAAGCCCUUUUGUUGGGAAAGAAAAGCAGCGGGUUAAUACCCCGCUGUUCUGACGGUACCUAAAGAAAAAGCAACGGCUAACUUCGUG
This 492-nucleotide ribosomal RNA is filed under the name uncultured bacterium. RNAcentral describes it as "partial 16S ribosomal RNA". It matches the Rfam family "Bacterial small subunit ribosomal RNA", at positions 29 to 507 of the family's 1533-position model. The record is from RNAcentral.